RNAcentral lists this ribosomal RNA (407 nucleotides) under uncultured bacterium. RNAcentral describes it as "bacterial SSU rRNA". It matches the Rfam family "Bacterial small subunit ribosomal RNA", at positions 355 to 776 of the family's 1533-position model. The record is from RNAcentral.
UGGGGAAUAUUGGGCAAUGGGCGCAAGCCUGACCCAGCAACGCCGCGUGAAGGAAGAAGGCUUUCGGGUUGUAAACUUCUUUUAUCAGGGACGAAAAAAGUGACGGUACCUGAUGAAUAAGCCACGGCUAACUACGUGCCAGCAGCCGCGGUAAUACGUAGGUGGCAAGCGUUAUCCGGAUUUACUGGGUGUAAAGGGCGUGUAGGCGGGCUUGCAAGUCAGAUGUGAAAUUCCAGGGCUCAACCCUGGAACUGCAUUUGAAACUGUAGGUCUUGAGUGCUGGAGAGGCAAUCGGAAUUCCGUGUGUAGCGGUGAAAUGCGUAGAUAUACGGAGGAACACCAGUGGCGAAGGCGGAUUGCUGGACAGUAACUGACGCUGAGGCGCGAAAGCGUGGGGAGCAAACAGG